GGUUAAGCGACUAAGCGUACACGGUGGAUGCCCUGGCAGUCAGAGGCGAUGAAGGGCGUGCUAAUCUGCGAUAAGCGCCGGUAAGGUGAUAUGAACCGUUAUAACCGGCGAUACCCGAAUGGGGAAACCCAGUGUGACUCGUCACACUAUCAUUAACUGAAUCCAUAGGUUAAUGAGGCGAACCGGGGGAACUGAAACAUCUAAGUACCCCGAGGAAAAGAAAUCAACCGAGAUUCCCCCAGUAGCGGCGAGCGAACGGGGAGGAGCCCAGAGCCUGAAUCAGCAUGUGUGUUAGUGGAAGCGUCUGGAAAGGCGCGCGAUACAGGGUGACAGCCCCGUACACAAAAGCGCAUGUGCUGUGAGCUCGAUGAGUAGGGCGGGACACGUGGUAUCCUGUCUGAAUAUGGGGGGACCAUCCUCCAAGGCUAAAUACUCCUGACUGACCGAUAGUGAACCAGUACCGUGAGGGAAAGGCGAAAAGAACCCCGGCGAGGGGAGUGAAAAAGAACCUGAAACCGUGUACGUACAAGCAGUGGGAGCCCCACCACCAAAGCAUUCUCUGGUGUUGAAGGCCCUGCAAAGCAGCAUCGCGGUGGCGGAGCGUCGUUUGCGACGCCCAACACACAAAACAAGCGGUGAGUGCUUUGGGGUGGGGUGACUGCGUACCUUUUGUAUAAUGGGUCAGCGACUUAUAUUCUGUAGCAAGGUUAACCGAAUAGGGGAGCCGGAGGGAAACCGAGUCUUAAUUGGGCGUUAAGUUGCAGGGUAUAGACCCGAAACCCGGUGAUCUAGCCAUGGGCAGGUUGAAGGUUGGGUAACACUAACUGGAGGACCGAACCGACUAAUGUUGAAAAAUUAGCGGAUGACCUGUGGCUGGGGGUGAAAGGCCAAUCAAACCGGGAGAUAGCUGGUUCUCCCCGAAAGCUAUUUAGGUAGCGCCUCGUGAAUUCAUCUCCGGGGGUAGAGCACUGUUUCGGCUAGGGGGCCAUCCCGGCUUACCAACCCGAUGCAAACUGCGAAUACCGGAGAAUGUUAUCACGGGAGACACACGGCGGGUGCUAACGUCCGUCGUGAAGAGGGAAACAACCCAGACCGCCAGCUAAGGUCCCAAAGUCAUGGUUAAGUGGGAAACGAUGUGGGAAGGCCCAGACAGCCAGGAUGUUGGCUUAGAAGCAGCCAUCAUUUAAAGAAAGCGUAAUAGCUCACUGGUCGAGUCGGCCUGCGCGGAAGAUGUAACGGGGCUAAACCAUGCACCGAAGCUGCGGCAGCGACGCUGAUGCGUUGUUGGGUAGGGGAGCGUUCUGUAAGCCUGUGAAGGUGUGUCGUGAGGCAUGCUGGAGGUAUCAGAAGUGCGAAUGCUGACAUAAGUAACGAUAAAGCGGGUGAAAAGCCCGCUCGCCGGAAGACCAAGGGUUCCUGUCCAACGUUAAUCGGGGCAGGGUGAGUCGACCCCUAAGGCGAGGCCGAAAGGCGUAGUCGAUGGGAAACAGGUUAAUAUUCCCGUACUUGGUGUUACUGCGAAGGGGGGACGGAGAAGGCUAUGUUGGCCGGGCGACGGUUGUCCCGGUUUAAGCGUGUAGGCUGGUUUUCCAGGCAAAUCCGGAAAAUCAAGGCUGAGGCGUGACGACGAGGCACUACGGUGCUGAAGCAACAAAUGCCCUGCUUCCAGGAAAAGCCUCUAAGCAUCAGGUAACAUCAAAUCGUACCCCAAACCGACACAGGUGGUCAGGUAGAGAAUACCAAGGCGCUUGAGAGAACUCGGGUGAAGGAACUAGGCAAAAUGGUGCCGUAACUUCGGGAGAAGGCACGCUGACACGUAGGUGAAGUGAUUUACUCAUGGAGCUGAAGUCAGUCGAAGAUACCAGCUGGCUGCAACUGUUUAUUAAAAACACAGCACUGUGCAAACACGAAAGUGGACGUAUACGGUGUGACGCCUGCCCGGUGCCGGAAGGUUAAUUGAUGGGGUCAGCGCAAGCGAAGCUCCUGAUCGAAGCCCCGGUAAACGGCGGCCGUAACUAUAACGGUCCUAAGGUAGCGAAAUUCCUUGUCGGGUAAGUUCCGACCUGCACGAAUGGCGUAAUGAUGGCCAGGCUGUCUCCACCCGAGACUCAGUGAAAUUGAACUCGCUGUGAAGAUGCAGUGUACCCGCGGCAAGACGGAAAGACCCCGUGAACCUUUACUAUAGCUUGACACUGAACAUUGAGCCUUGAUGUGUAGGAUAGGUGGGAGGCUUUGAAGUGUGGACGCCAGUCUGCAUGGAGCCGACCUUGAAAUACCACCCUUUAAUGUUUGAUGUUCUAACGUGGACCCGUAAUCCGGGUUGCGGACAGUGUCUGGUGGGUAGUUUGACUGGGGCGGUCUCCUCCUAAAGAGUAACGGAGGAGCACGAAGGUUGGCUAAUCCUGGUCGGACAUCAGGAGGUUAGUGCAAUGGCAUAAGCCAGCUUGACUGCGAGCGUGACGGCGCGAGCAGGUGCGAAAGCAGGUCAUAGUGAUCCGGUGGUUCUGAAUGGAAGGGCCAUCGCUCAACGGAUAAAAGGUACUCCGGGGAUAACAGGCUGAUACCGCCCAAGAGUUCAUAUCGACGGCGGUGUUUGGCACCUCGAUGUCGGCUCAUCACAUCCUGGGGCUGAAGUAGGUCCCAAGGGUAUGGCUGUUCGCCAUUUAAAGUGGUACGCGAGCUGGGUUUAGAACGUCGUGAGACAGUUCGGUCCCUAUCUGCCGUGGGCGCUGGAGAACUGAGGGGGGCUGCUCCUAGUACGAGAGGACCGGAGUGGACGCAUCACUGGUGUUCGGGUUGUCAUGCCAAUGGCACUGCCCGGUAGCUAAAUGCGGAAGAGAUAAGUGCUGAAAGCAUCUAAGCACGAAACUUGCCCCGAGAUGAGUUCUCCCUGAGACUUAAAGUCUCCUGAAGGAACGUUGAAGACGACGACGUUGAUAGGCCGGGUGUGUAAGCGCAGCGAUGCGUUGAGCUAACCGGUACUAAUGAACCGUGAGGCUUAACCUU
This 3006-nucleotide ribosomal RNA is filed under the name Salmonella enterica. RNAcentral describes it as "23S ribosomal RNA". It matches the Rfam family "Bacterial large subunit ribosomal RNA". The record is from RNAcentral. RNAcentral also lists the same sequence under 3 other names. Lineage: Bacteria; Pseudomonadati; Pseudomonadota; Gammaproteobacteria; Enterobacterales; Enterobacteriaceae.